AGGACGAACGCUGGCGGCGUGCUUAACACAUGCAAGUCGAGCGGUAAGGCCUCCUUCGGGGGGUACACGAGCGGCGAACGGGUGAGUAACACGUGGGUGACCUGCCCCCAGCUCUGGGAUAAGCCUGGGAAAACCGGGUCUAAUACCGGAUGGGACUGCUUGCCGCAUGGUGGGUGGUGGAAAGUUUUUUUCGGCUGGGGAUGGGCCCGCGGCCUAUCAGCUUGUUGGUGGGGUGAUGGCCUACCAAGGCGGUGACGGGUA
This 261-nucleotide ribosomal RNA is filed under the name uncultured bacterium. Its description in RNAcentral is "partial small subunit ribosomal RNA". It matches the Rfam family "Bacterial small subunit ribosomal RNA", at positions 26 to 285 of the family's 1533-position model. The record is from RNAcentral.